Molecule: ribosomal RNA, 509 nt
Filed under: uncultured bacterium
Lineage: Bacteria
Description: partial 16S ribosomal RNA
Rfam family: Bacterial small subunit ribosomal RNA
Source: RNAcentral
ACGCACGCUGGCGGCGUGCUUAACACCUGCAAGUCGAACGCAGAGCGAUGGAAGCUUGCUUCUAUCAAUCUUAGUGGCGAACGGGUGAGUAACGCGUAAUCAACCUGCCCUUCAGAGGGGGACAACAGUUGGAAACGACUGCUAAUACCGCAUACGAUCUAAUCUCGGCAUCGAGGAUAGAUGAAAGGUGGCCUCUACAUGUAAGCUAUCACUGAAGGAGGGGAUUGCGUCUGAUUAGCUAGUUGGGGGGGUAACGGCCCACCAAGGCGAUGAGCAGUAGCCGGUCUGAGAGGAUGAACGGCCACAUUGGGAAUGAGACACGGCCCAGACUCCUACGGGAGGCAGCAGUGGGGAAUCUUCCGCAAUGGACGAAAGUCUGACGGAGCAACGCCGCGUGAGUGAUGACGGCCUUCGGGUUGUAAAGCUCUGUUAAUCGGGACGAAAGGCCUUCUUGCGAAUAGUGAGAAGGAUUGACGGUACCGGAAUAGAAAGCCACGGCUAACUACGUG